This is a long non-coding RNA of Vicia villosa (hairy vetch), 199 nucleotides long. RefSeq lists it as uncharacterized. The record is from RefSeq and is a predicted model, not a curated record. The transcript is spliced from 2 exons. Lineage: Eukaryota; Viridiplantae; Streptophyta; Magnoliopsida; Fabales; Fabaceae.
UUAUAUAAUUGUAUAGUUCAAAAUGAAAAAGAGAGAACAUAUGGCACAUAUUGUUAAGUUUGUUAUUGUAACAAUUAUUUUUCUAAUCAUAUUCGUCUUUGGAACAGAUGGUAUCGUUCUAACAGAUCUUAUCAGAUGUGAGUCUAAUAAAGAAUGUCGUCAACAAAUGCCUGAUUGCAAGCGUCCUAAAAUGCCAAGG